Pelobates cultripes (western spadefoot toad) is the source of this 219-nucleotide non-coding RNA. Lineage: Eukaryota; Metazoa; Chordata; Amphibia; Anura; Pelobatidae. The record is from the annotation of a GenBank genome assembly.
GGGGAGGGAGGAGAGAGUAGCUGGGGGCUGGUGUGGCUGCCAGCGGCCGCAGGGAGACCUGUCAGUCUCCCUGCACAGUCUGAAAUUAUUCCGGCCGCAUGCCCCGCCCCCAAACGGAAGCUCCGCCUCCCACCCGACAAGCUCCGCCCCCACGCACGUUACUGGGAAGCUGCCCACCGGACCAAGAGGACACUGAAAGGUAUUUACUUUUUUACAGCC